RNAcentral lists this ribosomal RNA (709 nucleotides) under uncultured bacterium. RNAcentral's name for it is "bacterial SSU rRNA". It matches the Rfam family "Bacterial small subunit ribosomal RNA", at positions 100 to 825 of the family's 1533-position model. The record is from RNAcentral.
GACGGGUGAGUAACGCGUGGAUAACCUGCCGUAUGCAGGGGGAUAACAGUUGGAAACAGCUGCUAAUACCGCAUAAGCGCACGGUGCCGCAUGGUACAGUGCGAAAAGAUUUAUCGGCAUACGAUGGAUCCGCGUCCGAUUAGCCAGUUGGCGGGGUAACGGCCCACCAAAGCGACGAUCGGUAGCCGGCCUGAGAGGGCGGACGGCCACAUUGGGACUGAGACACGGCCCAAACUCCUACGGGAGGCAGCAGUGGGGAAUAUUGGACAAUGGGGGGAACCCUGAUCCAGCGACGCCGCGUGAGUGAAGAAGUAUUUCGGUAUGUAAAGCUCUAUCAGCAGGGAAGAAAGAAAUGACGGUACCUGACUAAGAAGCCCCGGCUAACUACGUGCCAGCAGCCGCGGUAAUACGUAGGGGGCAAGCGUUAUCCGGAUUUACUGGGUGUAAAGGGAGCGUAGACGGCAGUGCAAGUCUGAAGUGAAAGGCGGGGGCCCAACCCCCGGACUGCUUUGGAAACUGUGCUGCUGGAGUGCAGGAGAGGCAAGUGGAAUUCCUAGUGUAGCGGUGAAAUGCGUAGAUAUUAGGAGGAACACCAGUGGCGAAGGCGGCUUGCUGGACUGUAACUGACGUUGAGGCUCGAAAGCGUGGGGAGCAAACAGGAUUAGAUACCCUGGUAGUCCACGCCGUAAACGAUGAUCACUAGGUGUCG